UUUAGAUAGUUUAUAAAAAAUAGAAGAUUGUGGGGCUUCAGAUGGGUUUCCUCUAGAU
Molecule: transfer RNA, 58 nt
Filed under: Onychiurus orientalis
Lineage: Eukaryota; Metazoa; Arthropoda; Collembola; Poduromorpha; Onychiuridae
Description: tRNA-His
Source: RNAcentral